This 391-nucleotide ribosomal RNA is filed under the name uncultured bacterium. Its description in RNAcentral is "bacterial SSU rRNA". It matches the Rfam family "Bacterial small subunit ribosomal RNA", at positions 28 to 419 of the family's 1533-position model. The record is from RNAcentral.
GACGAACGCUGGCGGCGUGCUUAACACAUGCAAGUCGAGCGGUAAGGCCCCUUCGGGGGUACACGAGCGGCGAACGGGUGAGUAACACGUGGGUGACCUGCCCUCAGCUCUGGGAUAAGCCUGGGAAACUGGGUCUAAUACCGGAUAUGACUCCAUGACGCAUGUCGUGGGGUGGAAAGCCUUGUGCGGCUGGGGAUGGGCCCGCGGCCUAUCAGCUUGUUGGUGGGGUGAUGGCCUACCAAGGCGACGACGGGUAGCCGGCCUGAGAGGGCGACCGGCCACACUGGGACUGAGACACGGCCCAGACUCCUACGGGAGGCAGCAGGUGGGGAAUCUUGCGCAAUGGGCGAAAGCCUGACGCAGCGACGCCGCGUGAGGGAUGACGGCCUGG